This is a ribosomal RNA of Scophthalmus maximus (turbot), 110 nucleotides long. The record is from Ensembl. Lineage: Eukaryota; Metazoa; Chordata; Actinopteri; Pleuronectiformes; Scophthalmidae.
GCUUACGGCCACACCGCCUGGUUCACGCCCCAUCUCGGAAGCUAAGAUAGGUUGGGCCUGGUUAGUACUUGGAUGGGAGACCGCCUGGGAAUACCAGGUUGCUGUAAGCU